CAAGGGCCCUGUCCAUUCCCAUAUCAAGAUGAAUAUUAUUUCCUUCGGCCAGGCCAUGUCGUUAUGGAAGAUACCUGGUCUUUCAGACUUCCUGAGAUUUACACAUCUACCACUUUCCUUGACAUAUACUUAUGAUCUGCUAUGCAGACUGGCUGAAUGUCAUUCCCAUCCCUGGACUCCUUCCUUCUCCUUUCCUUUCGGAGCAACCCAGGGCACAGAUGGAUACAGAGGCUGUGGUGUUUUCAAGGUUGCAGCAUGUUCCAAGACUAUGGCCUCAUGAAGGAACAGAAAAACCUCCUUAGGGACUCCAGGAAGAGCAGGGAAGGCUUGUGGAAAUGCCUACUGAAAGUUUUGCCAUUUGUUAGGGACAGCCAGAAGAUGUUGACUCUUCUGCCUUCUCUGCAGGAGUCUUCUGUGCAGUGAUGCUCACUGCAGCUGUGUCUGAUUUCCUGAAUGGUGUGCAAGAAUGCUGGAAAACUCCUAAAAGCAGAUGGGCUAUUGAUCCGACAAGAGGAUAAUCAGUGCAUCAAAGCAGGAGGAGGACGAGAGACGGAACUCUUGAGGCUCUUCAGUGACUGCUGUCUCAGACAGAGAAAUCUUAUUCACAGCGAGUCCUGGGAGGAGGGAGCUGGAAUAGGAGAGGCUGCUUGGAGACAAACACCCCUGCAUGUGAAGCUGAAAAAUUAUGUCUUGCAGGGGAGGAAAUGUAAAAUCAAAGAGGGAAAAUCUUAAAUUAUAAGAGGAUGGGUGAAAUAACGACCUCACAAUAACUCACUGAGGAUCCAUAAUCCACCAAUGUCUGUCCUGUCUGCAAGGCAUUAAUUGUCAUGUUCAUGAAAGGAGUUUGAGAGUCCUGAGGGGAUGGGCUCAAAAGAAGCUGUGUCUUCUGCUACGUGAGGUCCAGACACUGAUGUGAGCUUCCAUGACUAUUUAUUUCUCUGAAGUUUCUGAAGAAAUAGAAAUAAUUAAUGACUGGCUGUGUCUCUUUGGCUCUGGGAGCAGACCAUUUCUGUGUCCAUGUUAACCACACAUAAAUGAUGUUGUCUGAUGGGCAGCCUGCAUUAUGGACAGAGUCAGGACGUCCUGACUCUUGGCAUGACUGUUAUGUGCAGUGGCCUAAAAGCAGCACAGGAGCAUCACUGUUUGAGGAGGAUAGGGAGGAAAGGGAUAAAAUUCUUAUGUUCAGCCAGCGGUACUUAACGCAGAUCCUGGAGGGGAUCCAAGCAGACUUAAGGCUAUAUUUAUGUUUCCUUCAUCUAGGUUGUCUUCCUGACACAGCAUCUCACUGGUGAAAUUUGGAAGACCCAAAAGGGGCUAUGUUUUUUGCACACCCUUGUAACCCCAAUCCCAUUACAGCAUUUGAGAAAUAGUUGGGUAAGGCAUCACCCCUUUGCCAGUUGGUGCAUCCUACUGUGGGGUGUCUGUGGACACAGAACAGGACCAUGGACGUGUGGUCUGGUGAACAAAGCAUGGGACUGGUCUAUGAACUCUAAACUUUCUCAGUGCCUCUGAGCACUCUGACUGUCUCUUUCCAUCUAUUUGUGUAAAAACAGGAUGAUAAUUGUUUUCCCCUCACUUCUCAUGCAGUUGUUUUGUUUGGAAAUCUGUCUAGGAAGACAUGCUCUUUUACUGUGUAGAACACAGAAUCAUAGUCAUAAAAUCAUUUAGAUUGGAAAAGACCUCUAGGAUCAUCAAAUCCAGCUGUUUACAUCUUACACAAGAAAGGGUGUUG
This 1732-nucleotide long non-coding RNA is filed under the name Anser brachyrhynchus (Pink-footed goose). Its description in RNAcentral is "lncRNA (ENSABRG00000004229.1)". Lineage: Eukaryota; Metazoa; Chordata; Aves; Anseriformes; Anatidae. The record is from RNAcentral.